RNAcentral lists this unclassified non-coding RNA (245 nucleotides) under uncultured fungus. RNAcentral describes it as "sequence contains ITS1, 5.8S rRNA gene". The stretch from base 197 to 245 matches the Rfam family "5.8S ribosomal RNA", at positions 1 to 49 of the family's 154-position model. The record is from RNAcentral. Lineage: Eukaryota; Fungi.
UUUCCGUAGGUGAACCUGCGGAAGGAUCACUAAAGAGAACUUGCCCUUCGGGGUAGAUCUCCCACCCUUUGUUUAUCACACUUUGUUGCUUUGGCGGGCCUGCCCUCGCGGCUGCCGGCCUUCGGGCUGGUGCGUGCCCGCCAGAGAAACCCAAACCCUGUCUUACAGUGUCGUCCGAGUACUAUAUAAUAGUUAAAACUUUCAACAACGGAUCUCUUGGUUCUGGCAUCGAUGAAGAACGCAGC